Molecule: long non-coding RNA, 359 nt
Organism: Helicoverpa zea (corn earworm)
Lineage: Eukaryota; Metazoa; Arthropoda; Insecta; Lepidoptera; Noctuidae
Exons: 2
Source: RefSeq, a predicted model, not a curated record
CUUCAUUUAUUUCGUACCUGCCUAAUUCCUACUUAUUUGUGCUAGACAAAUUAUAAUCGGAAAUCCCGCUGGGGAUUUAUUUCUACGUUGGAAUUUCUACGUUCGAGUUUUUACAUUCUACUUUAAACCCUCGCUACGCAACGUUCUACCUGGCGGCGAGUGAAAGACCAGACCUGAUCCUGUCUGGAACUACCUGGGUCCUGCUGGAGACCUGGAAGUGCAACCUGGGAAGGAGCUGGGCCGUCGUCGGAGCUACACCACGGUUCAGGCCAGUGUUCCCAGUGUACCUUCUACCUCGAGAUCUAUUCGUGGUUAGGGCAACAGAAGUUGGCUUAAAUAAAGUCUCAAUUUCUACCAAA